RNAcentral lists this ribosomal RNA (253 nucleotides) under uncultured bacterium. RNAcentral describes it as "partial 16S ribosomal RNA". It matches the Rfam family "Bacterial small subunit ribosomal RNA", at positions 524 to 776 of the family's 1533-position model. The record is from RNAcentral.
UACGAAGGGGGCUAGCGUUGCUCGGAAUCACUGGGCGUAAAGCGCACGUAGGCGGCUUCUCAAGUCAGGGGUGAAAUCCUGGAGCUCAACUCCAGAACUGCCUUUGAUACUGAGAGGCUCGAGUCCGGGAGAGGUGAGUGGAACUGCGAGUGUAGAGGUGAAAUUCGUAGAUAUUCGCAAGAACACCAGUGGCGAAGGCGGCUCACUGGCCCGGUACUGACGCUGAGGUGCGAAAGCGUGGGGAGCAAACAGG